This 873-nucleotide long non-coding RNA is filed under the name Panax ginseng (ginseng). RNAcentral describes it as "long non-coding RNA (PGIN_LNC015930)". Lineage: Eukaryota; Viridiplantae; Streptophyta; Magnoliopsida; Apiales; Araliaceae. The record is from RNAcentral.
UUCAAAUGAAAUCCAGAAACCCAAAAAUCUUCAAAACCAUUCAUCAUCAUGUACUCAUUAAAUACAAAAAUUUCAAAACUCAAAAACCAUUGUUCUUCAAAUAAUAAUAUAUUCAACUUAAAAAUUGUCUAACAUCGUAAUCCAUACUCAACUUCACAAUUCAACAUCAUCAGUUUCACAAUCCAACAUCAUAAGUUCUAGAUCUAUAAUGGUGAAUCAAAGACGAGAGAACGAGAUUUAAGUUAGAUAAGUAAAAAGAUUUGGGGAAAAAGAAAACAACCAUUCUAUUCAUCAUCCCCAUCUCCCAUGGUCAUCCCCAUCUAAGAAAACAACCCAACCAAUUUAUUUUUCUCCAUUUCUUUACUUUUAUUUUCAGUUCUAUUUAGUGCUCUAAUGUAGUAGACCUUGUAGAUCUAUUGGAUGUAGAUCGAGCUCUCCCGGACGCUCGAUGGCCGUUUCCCCGAGAGAUCAUGUGGUUCGUAAGCUGAAUCGUUAUGUCACGAAAUCCAGCGUCGUAUAGGUGCUCAGAGAGUCGGGAAUUGCCACAGCUGGGAACCAAAAUCUGUGCUCCGGUGGUGGUGGUGCUGCUAGUGGAGGCGUCCUGUGGCGGCGAUGGUGUCUCCUUAUCGGAAAGGUGAGAGAGAAGAGGGCCACGAAGCUGAGGCCACUCGGCGUAUGUAAUACUCGGAAAACAAUAAUAAUAAUAAUAACAUUUAAAUCUAUAUUUAAAAUAUUUUAAUUUGGGAUUUUCUUAUGUUUGGGUCAGAUUAUAUUUCAUUUUGAGUGAACCAUAAUGAAUAUUGGACAAUGUUGAGUUGAUAAAUUUGGGCCUUAAAACUAAUUAAGUUUAGCAUAUAUUUUAUACUAUUAAAU